This 496-nucleotide ribosomal RNA is filed under the name uncultured bacterium. RNAcentral describes it as "partial 16S ribosomal RNA". It matches the Rfam family "Bacterial small subunit ribosomal RNA", at positions 29 to 507 of the family's 1533-position model. The record is from RNAcentral.
AUGCACGCUGGCGGCGUGCCUAAUCCAUGCAAGUCGCGCGCACAGACGAGGAGCUUGCUCCUCUGACGUUAGCGGCGGACGGGUGAGUAACACGUGGAUAACCUACCUAUAAGACUGGGAUAACUUCGGGAAACCGGAGCUAAUACCGGAUAAUAUAUUGAACCGCAUGGUUCAAUAGUGAAAGACGGUUUUGCUGUCACUUAUAGAUGGAUCCGCGCCGCAUUAGCUAGUUGGUAAGGUAACGGCUUACCAAGGCAACGAUGCGUAGCCGACCUGAGAGGGUGAUCGGCCACACUGGAACUGAGACACUGUCCAGACUCCUACGGGAGGCAGCAGUAGGGAAUCUUCCGCAAUGGGCGAAAGCCUGACGGAGCAACGCCGCGUGAGUGAUGAAGGUCUUCGGAUCGUAAAACUCUGUUAUUAGGGAAGAACAAAUGUGUAAGUAACUAUGCACGUCUUGACGGUACCUAAUCAGAAAGCCACGGCUAACUACGUG